RNA transcript from Triticum dicoccoides, 2530 nucleotides. RefSeq lists it as uncharacterized. The record is from RefSeq and is a predicted model, not a curated record. NCBI's taxonomy places the organism in Eukaryota, Viridiplantae, Streptophyta, Magnoliopsida, Poales, Poaceae. The transcript is spliced from 11 exons.
CGUAGGUCCCCUGCGAAUACGGAUCUGGUGAACGGGAGCCGUCUACACCGCGAUAGACUCGUGGCUUAUCGUCUCUCUCGUCCCGUCGGCCAUGGUACUUUUCCUCUUUCCUCACAAAAGUCUUCCCCAUCUCCACCUUCCUCCGGUGAUCUCUUGCCCAGCCUCGGCCGAGAUGGUGCCCUAAAGGCGUAUGCAUGGCCAUGUGACAAGGCGGUGGCCGUGAGGGAGCCGAGGCGCAGGCCCUACAUGUGCCCAUGGGACUACGGUGCACAUGCCAGGAGGCUGAUUCCUUAGGAGUCCAUGGCAUGAACCUUUGGUUUAUGCUUCAAGAUCCAAAGCAAUCAUGACGUCGGUAUGAACAUAAAUCGCCCAACUUAAAUGAGAUCCGGCAAGGCUUCAAUUAAUUGGCCUGACAGAGGCAGAACUCCGAGUCAAUGAAUUAGGAUUUGCAUGGUGCAUGGUGCUUCUGUUUUCCUCUCUAAUUUUUAUUGGACAUAUAUGUUCUUUGUCUUCUGUCCUUGUGUAUGCCUUGAGUUAAUUGUUCUUUUCCUGGUUUGAAAUAACUAUUGUUCCUGAUGAACUCCGCCGAGCUCUUGUGCAUGCAUGAAGGCGAUGUGGCCGUGAUGAUGUCUGAAGCACUAGCUUGCAUGUACAUAUGCCUCUCGGAAAUCGGAAUUCCUCUCCUCUUCUGAAAGUCCUGCAGAUCUCCGGCGAGCUCUUGCUCAGCCAUGGCCCAGGCGACCGGGAUGGAAUCCACGGCAUAUGCUUCUUCAUGUGACAUGGAGAACGAGAAGGUGUGCUGGACUAUAUAUGUUGUCCUCUGCACCUCCUUUCUUCCGGCGAGCACUGUUCAUGCCCGGCGGGCCGGCUGAGUGGGUGCCCGAGGCAUAGGCCCGUGCAUGUGCCUCUGAGACCACGGCGGGUUCGAGAUGAUUCAACUAUCUUUCUCAUAUCUAACGGAAACUUACGGCUUCAAGAGGCCAGACAGAUGCACAACUCUAGUCGGUGGAUUAGAAGAAGGUGCAAGAUUGUUCUGGUUCAAGAUCUUUGCGUUGUCAAGCCAACUCAGGGAUCUAAGUCUGUUGGCAAAAUGGCAAAUACUCCACUGCUUCCGCUUCCGGAAGCCUGACCGAUGAACAACUAGAUGCUGAGCUAAUAGAUAUGAACCGUGUCAAGGCCACCUGGUGCGUGACCAUGGAUUGAUUGAAGACACGCGUAUCAAGGGGUUAAAGAAACUUCUACAUGGCAUAAACAUACGGAACAAGGUCGCUACUCUCCUGGUAUGAUUUGCCUCGGUCGCUUUGGUCCGGUAAUAGCCAAGAAGUGGCCUCCUUGUUGAUGGCAUCUAGGAGACUAGGAGGAUGUUCGGCGCCGCGUACUUGGGGUGGAAGUUUUGACGGACAUAUUGAGCCACCACUCCUUGACGGAAUGCUUGUCAUUCCAAGAGGAAAUGUCAAAACUCUCGAGCACAAUCCCCAAAGCCUUGGUGAACCGGCACUUGUAAAAAAGGUAGUUCUGGUUGCCAAUUCAGUGCCAACUUUGAAGUUGCAACUUAAGCUCCAAAGGGCGGCUUUAUAGUCGAUCUAUAUGGCAUUAUUGCUAGAUCCAGUGUCAGACACCUACCUCAAUUUUAAGUGAAAGGCUGCGGGAGUUACUAUUGCUAACUGGGCGGCUGUAGAACCGACGAAAGAAGCUAUGAAGUAUGCAGUUGCUUACCAGCCUGUUGUGGCAUCUAUCUACACUAACAGCAAAUUUAGGAGAUACAGCAAGGGUUUUCUUGAAGUUCCUCGCAAUCCUGGUCCAGUUAACCACUCUGUGCUUCUACUCGGAUAUGGUGAGUGUCCACUACAGGGCGAAUGCUGGAUCGGCAUAAGUUCGUACCGAAACCGAAGGCGAUGGGGCAUAACAUGGCGGGGCCAGUACCGUAACAUCUUCUUUCUACCGAGGAACACGUGUCAUGUGGAGGGGGCUCUCAGAGUCCUAACCAAUGUUGUUCUUCCCCUGGGAGCUUCUAUGGUUCCUAAGGUUAAAACUCGAAGUGAGAGCUGCCCUGCCUGUUUCAAGUAGGUGGGCUUACGAUGGACUACUAAUGCUGCUGGUGGCUCGUCACACUCCAGUGUUUCUAUUGGUUUGAGUUCUGUUUGGAAUCUGUGCUACCUGCUUCAAUUGGCUCGAGCUCUUUUUGCUGAUUUGUGAUAUGAUGUUUUUGUUUGGAGUCUGAGCUACCAGUUCAAUUGGCUCCGUGCUCUUUUUGAUCAACUUAUGAUCCGAUGCUGCACUUAGACCAUCGUGUCUCAAGUCAUGUAUUACCUCCGUCCCAAAUUACUACUCUUUGACACUACACCAGUGUCAAAAAGGGUCUUACAUUAUGGGACGGUCGAAGUAGAUUUUAUUGUUAUUAGAUACAACCAUAUCUACACAAAUAUGGGAGACGUAAAUUGGGACGGAAAGAGUAUAACAAGAUGAUGUUGAGUAGGUACCAACAACUUGGAUCAGCAAUUUAUAGAAGCGAAGUACCUUUCACUUAAAA